CUGAGCUCCCAGUCCUCUAGUCUGACAGAGUUGGACCUGGGUAACAACAACCUGCAGGAUUCAGGACUGAAGCUUCUAUUUUCUGCAGUGGAAAGUCCAAAGUGUACACUUGGAAUUCUCAGGGUGGAGCCUGCUGGAGUCCGAUGGUUGAGACCAGGUCUGAGGAAGUAUUCCUGUCAACUC
Long non-coding RNA from Oreochromis aureus, 183 nucleotides. RefSeq lists it as uncharacterized. NCBI's taxonomy places the organism in Eukaryota, Metazoa, Chordata, Actinopteri, Cichliformes, Cichlidae. The transcript has 3 exons. The record is from RefSeq and is a predicted model, not a curated record.